GUAGCUACCAGGAUUCAGUGCGUUAGUUCAGGAUUGGCAAGUCACGUGAUCAACAUGGCGACGAAAAUGUGAAGAUUCGCACUUUUGCUACGUUCUCGGCAAAUUGUGGCGCUUUCUCAUCCACGUUUCCAAUAAUACAGGUCUACUGCUUAUCCAGAAAACAGGCAUCAGCUGAACUGAGUGCAGCAUGGCUUUACGGGCUUUUGCAGUAAUUUGGAACACAACCCUUCACAGCAGAUGUAAGUUGGCCCUGCUACGUCCAUCCGGGAGCCAAGUCUCUAUGAAGUGCAGCUUCAGCACUUUAUUCCAACCAAUCAGCAGCAUGGAACAGAAACUGUCAUCAGCAUUACUUCAGAGAAGCCUUCUACCAUCCCAGAUGACACAGAUAGCAGGCUACAAGUACAAGGUGUACCCCAAGCUGAGGUGCCGGUCGUGCUACUUCCUGAAGAUCAAAGGGGUGCUCCAUGUGCACUGUAAGACCCACCCGCGGCACAAGCAGAUUCAGUUACCGGAGCCAAAGAGAAAGCCCAAUGGUUUAGAGGACACAUGGGGCCACAAGCCACUCAAUGUCUGACAUAGGCAAAAUAGACAUGAAAAAGAGUUGCAUAACUUAAAAAUACAAAGCACUGCAGCCUAGUUCAAGAAUCUUUGUGUGUAAUCUUCUACAAGUUUAUGACUGGAAAACUCAUCUAAAAAUAAACCACCCCAUAUCAAGC
This is a long non-coding RNA of Branchiostoma floridae (Florida lancelet), 716 nucleotides long. RefSeq lists it as uncharacterized. The record is from RefSeq and is a predicted model, not a curated record. NCBI's taxonomy places the organism in Eukaryota, Metazoa, Chordata, Leptocardii, Amphioxiformes, Branchiostomatidae. The transcript is spliced from 2 exons.